UACCAGCUGCCCGAGUGGUCGGGACGGUUAUUUGGCCUAAAGCAUCCGUAGCCGGCCCUGCCCGUCUUCCGUUAAAUCUAACGGCCCAACCGUUAGGCUGCGGAAGAUACCACAGGGCUAGGGGGCGGGAGAGGUGGACGGUACUCCAAGGGUAGGGGUAAAAUCCUCUGAUCCUUGGAAGACCACAGGUGGCGAAGGCGGUCCACCAGAACGCGCCCGACGGUGAGGGAUGAAAGCUGGGGGAGCGAACCGG
This 253-nucleotide ribosomal RNA is filed under the name uncultured archaeon. Its description in RNAcentral is "partial 16S ribosomal RNA". It matches the Rfam family "Archaeal small subunit ribosomal RNA", at positions 474 to 727 of the family's 1478-position model. The record is from RNAcentral.